CCUACGGGCGGCAGCAGUGGGGAAUAUUGGACAAUGGGCGAAAGCCUGAUCCAGCCAUGCCGCGUGUGUGAAGAAGGCCUUCGGGUUGUAAAGCACUUUCAGUGGGGAAGAAAGCCUUGGGGCUAAUACCCUCGAGGAAGGACAUCACCCACAGAAGAAGCACCGGCUAACUCCGUGCCAGCAGCCGCGGUAAUACGGAGGGUGCGAGCGUUAAUCGGAAUUACUGGGCGUAAAGCGCGCGUAGGCGGUCUGAUAAGCCGGUUGUGAAAGCCCCGGGCUCAACCUGGGAACGGCAUCCGGAACUGUCAGGCUAGAGUGCAGGAGAGGAAGGUAGAAUUCCCGGUGUAGCAGUGAAAUGCGUAGAGAUCGGGAGGAAUACCAGUGGCGAAGGCGGCCUUCUGGACUGACACUGACGCUGAGGUGCGAAAGCGUGGGUAGCAAACAGGAUUAGAUCCCCUAGUAGUC
This 465-nucleotide ribosomal RNA is filed under the name Vreelandella stevensii. RNAcentral describes it as "partial 16S ribosomal RNA". It matches the Rfam family "Bacterial small subunit ribosomal RNA", at positions 338 to 795 of the family's 1533-position model. Lineage: Bacteria; Pseudomonadati; Pseudomonadota; Gammaproteobacteria; Oceanospirillales; Halomonadaceae. The record is from RNAcentral.